CCUACGGGAAGCAGCAGUGGGGGAUAUUGCACAAUGGGGGAAACCCUGAUGCAGCGACGCCGCGUGUGGGAAGACGGUCCUCUGGAUUGUAAACCACUGUCCCCAGGGACGAAGAUGACGGUACCUGGGGAGGAAGCUCCGGCGAACUACGUGCCAGCAGCCGCGGUAAUACGUAGGGAGCGAGCGUUGUCCGGAAUUACUGGGUGUAAAGGGAGCGUAGGCGGGACUGCAAGUUGGGUGUCAAAUCUACCGGCUCAACCGGUAGCCGCACUCAAAACUGCAGUUCUUGAGUGAAGUAGAGGCAGGCGGAAUUCCUAGUGUAGCGGUGAAAUGCGUAGAUAUUAGGAGGAACACCAGUGGCGAAGGCGGCCUGCUGGGCUUUUACUGACGCUGAGGCUCGAAAGUGUGGGGAGCGAACAGGAUUAGAUACCCCAGUAGUC
Molecule: ribosomal RNA, 440 nt
Filed under: uncultured bacterium
Lineage: Bacteria
Description: partial 16S ribosomal RNA
Rfam family: Bacterial small subunit ribosomal RNA
Source: RNAcentral